Molecule: ribosomal RNA, 1408 nt
Filed under: uncultured bacterium
Lineage: Bacteria
Description: bacterial SSU rRNA
Rfam family: Bacterial small subunit ribosomal RNA
Source: RNAcentral
AGAGUUUGAUCCUGGCUCAGGAUGAACGCUAGCGACAGGCUUAACACAUGCAAGUCGAGGGGCAGCGGUGGUGAAGGCUUGCCUUCACCAGCCGGCGACCGGCGCACGGGUGAGUAACACGUAUGCAACCUGCCUGCCACAGCCGGAUAAUCGGGAGAAAUUCCGUCUAAUACGGCAUAAUGCAUCGACGGGACAUCCUGUUGGUGCCAAAGGUUGAUUCCGGUGGCGGAUGGGCAUGCGGCGCAUUAGGCAGUAGGCGGGGUAACGGCCCACCUAACCGACGAUGCGUAGGGGUUCUGAGAGGAAGGUCCCCCACACUGGUACUGAGACACGGACCAGACUCCUACGGGAGGCAGCAGUGAGGAAUAUUGGUCAAUGGUCGGGAGACUGAACCAGCCAAGCCGCGUGAGGGAGGAAGGUACAGAGUAUCGUAAACCUCUUUUGUCAGGGAACAAAGACGGGGACGCGUCCCCGGAUGAGUGUACCUGAAGAAAAAGCAUCGGCUAACUCCGUGCCAGCAGCCGCGGUAAUACGGAGGAUGCGAGCGUUAUCCGGAUUUAUUGGGUUUAAAGGGUGCGCAGGCGGUCUGUUAAGUCAGCGGUCAAAGCCCGGGGCUCAACCCCGGCCCGCCGUUGAAACUGGCAGUCUCGAGUUGGAGAGAAGUAUGCGGAAUGCGCGGUGUAGCGGUGAAAUGCAUAGAUAUCGCGCAGAACUCCGAUUGCGAAGGCAGCAUGCCGGCUCCACACUGACGCUGAGGCACGAAAGCGUGGGUAUCGAACAGGAUUAGAUACCCUGGUAGUCCACGCAGUAAACGAUGAAUGCUGGCUGUCCGGGGGGGAUUGACCCCUGGGUGGCGAAGCGAAAGCGAUAAGCAUUCCACCUGGGGAGUACGCCGGCAACGGUGAAACUCAAAGGAAUUGACGGGGGCCCGCACAAGCGGAGGAACAUGUGGUUUAAUUCGAUGAUACGCGAGGAACCUUACCCGGGCUCAAACGGGGAGUGACUCAGGCAGAGACGCCUGUUUCCCACGGGACACUCCCCGAGGUGCUGCAUGGUUGUCGUCAGCUCGUGCCGUGAGGUGUCGGCUUAAGUGCCAUAACGAGCGCAACCCCCGCGUGCAGUUGCUAACAGAUAACGCUGAGGACUCUGCACGGACUGCCGGCGCAAGCCGCGAGGAAGGCGGGGAUGACGUCAAAUCAGCACGGCCCUUACGUCCGGGGCGACACACGUGUUACAAUGGGUGGUACAGCGGGAAGCCAGGCGGCGACGCCGAGCGGAACCCGAAAUCCACUCUCAGUUCGGAUCGGAGUCUGCAACCCGACUCCGUGAAGCUGGAUUCGCUAGUAAUCGCGCAUCAGCCACGGCGCGGUGAAUACGUUCCCGGGCCUUGCACACACCGCCCGUCAAG